RNAcentral lists this ribosomal RNA (425 nucleotides) under uncultured rumen bacterium. RNAcentral describes it as "bacterial SSU rRNA". It matches the Rfam family "Bacterial small subunit ribosomal RNA", at positions 354 to 776 of the family's 1533-position model. The record is from RNAcentral.
GUGAGGAAUAUUGGUCAAUGGGCGAGAGCCUGAACCAGCCAAGUAGCGUGCAGGAUGACGGCCCUAUGGGUUGUAAACUGCUUUUAUGCGGGGAUAAAGUGAGGGACGUGUCCCUUUUUGUAGGUACCGCAUGAAUAAGGACCGGCUAAUUCCGUGCCAGCAGCCGCGGUAAUACGGAAGGUCCGGGCGUUAUCCGGAUUUAUUGGGUUUAAAGGGAGCGCAGGCGGGAGGUUAAGCGUGACGUGAAAUGUAGCCGCUCAACGGCUGAACUGCGUCGCGAACUGGCUUUCUUGAGUGAGUACGACGUCAGCGGAAUUCGUGGUGUAGCGGUGAAAUGCUUAGAUAUCACGAAGAACCCCGAUUGCGAAGGCAGCUGACGAGUCCUUUACUGACGCUAAAGCUCGAAGGUGCGGGUAUCGAACAGG